AACGAACGCUGGCGGCAGGCCUAACACAUGCAAGUCGAGCGCCCUUUCGGGGGAGCGGCGGCCGGGUGAGUAACGCGUGGGAAUAUGCCCUUCUCUACGGAAUAGCCUCGGGAAACUGAGAGUAAUACCGUAUACGCCCUGUGGGGGAAAGAUUUAUCGGGGAAGGAUUAGCCCGCGUUGGAUUAGGUAGUUGGUGGGGUAAUGGCCUACCAAGCCGACGAUCCAUAGCUGGUUUGAGAGGAUGAUCAGCCACACUGGGACUGAGACACGGCCCAGACUCCUACGGGAGGCAGCAGUGGGGAAUCUUAGACAAUGGGGGCAACCCUGAUCUAGCCAUGCCGCGUGAGUGAUGAAGGCCUUAGGGUUGUAAAGCUCUUUCAGCUGGGAAGAUAAUGACGGUACCAGCAGAAGAAGCCCCGGCUAACUCCGU
This 430-nucleotide ribosomal RNA is filed under the name uncultured bacterium. Its description in RNAcentral is "partial 16S ribosomal RNA". It matches the Rfam family "Bacterial small subunit ribosomal RNA", at positions 29 to 506 of the family's 1533-position model. The record is from RNAcentral.